GACGAACGCUGGCGGCGUGCUUAACACAUGCAAGUCGAACGGAAAGGCCAGUGCUUGCACUGGUACUCGAGUGGCGAACGGGUGAGUAACACGUGGGUGAUCUGCCUUUCACUCUGGGAUAAGCUUGGGAAACUGGGUCUAAUACCGGAUAUGAACUGCCUUUAGUGUGGUGGUUGGAAAGUUUUUUCGGUGCAAGAUGAGCUCGCGGCGUAUCAGCUUGUUGGUGGGGUAUUGGCCGACCAAGGCGUCGACGGGUAGCCGGCCUGAGAGGGUGUACGGCCACAUUGGGACUGAGAUACGGCCCAGACUCCUACGGGAGGCAGCAGUGGGGAAUAUUGCACAAUGGGCGGAAGCCUGAUGCAGCGACGCCGCGUGGGGGAUGACGGCCUUCGGGUUGUAAACUCCUUUCGACAGGGACGAAGCGUAAGUGACGGUACCUGUAUAAGAAGCACCGGCUAACUACGUG
Molecule: ribosomal RNA, 466 nt
Filed under: uncultured bacterium
Lineage: Bacteria
Description: partial 16S ribosomal RNA
Rfam family: Bacterial small subunit ribosomal RNA
Source: RNAcentral